AUUGAACGCUGGCGGCAUGCCUAACACAUGCAAGUCGAACGGGGGCAGCGAUGCCCUAGUGGCGGACGGGUGAGGAAUACGUAGGAACCGGCCCACGAGUGGGGGACAACCUGGGGAAACCCAGGCUAAUACCGCAUACGCUCGCGAGAGGAAAGCGGGGGACCUUCGGGCCUCGCGCUGGUGGACGGGCCUACGUCCGAUUAGCUCGUUGGUGGGGUAAAAGCCUACCAAGGCGACGAUCGGUAGCUGGUCUGAGAGGAUGAUCAGCCACACUGGGACUGAGACACGGCCCAGACUCCUACGGGAGGCAGCAGUGGGGAAUAUUGGACAAUGGGCGCAAGCCUGAUCCAGCAAUGCCGCGUGGGUGAAGAAGGCCUGCGGGUUGUAAAGCCCUUUAAGCGGGGAGGAAAGCCGGGGGGUGAAUAGCGCCUCGGGGUGACGUUACCCGCAGAAUAAGCACCGGCUAACUCCGUG
Molecule: ribosomal RNA, 474 nt
Filed under: uncultured organism
Description: bacterial SSU rRNA
Rfam family: Bacterial small subunit ribosomal RNA
Source: RNAcentral